This 433-nucleotide ribosomal RNA is filed under the name uncultured bacterium. Its description in RNAcentral is "partial 16S ribosomal RNA". It matches the Rfam family "Bacterial small subunit ribosomal RNA", at positions 29 to 507 of the family's 1533-position model. The record is from RNAcentral.
AACGAACGCUGGCGGCAUGCCUAACACAUGCAAGUCGAACGAGACCUUCGGGUCUAGGGGCGCACGGGUGCGUAACGCGUGGUAACCUGCCCUUAGGUUCGGAAUAACUCCCCGAAAGGGGUGCUAAUACCGGAUAAUGUCUUCGGACCAAAGAUUUAUCGCCUUUGGAUGGGCCCGCGUUGGAUUAGCUAGUUGGUAGGGUAAAAGCCUACCAAGGCGACGAUCCAUAGCUGGUCGGAGAGGAUGAUCAGCCACACUGGGACUGAGACACGGCCCAGACUCCUACGGGAGGCAGCAGUGGGGAAUAUUGGACAAGGGGCGAAAGCCUGAUCCAGCAAUGCCGCGUGAGUGAUGAAGGCGUUAGGGUUGUAAAGCCCUUUUACCCGGGAUGAUAAUGACAGUACCGGGAGAAUAAGCUCCGGCUAACUCCGUG